CGUGUAGGCGGGGAUGUAAGUCAGAUGUGAAAUAUCCAGGCUUAACUUGGAUGCUGCAUCUGAAACUAUGUUUCUUGAGUGCCGGAGAGGAAAGCGGAAUUCCCAGUGUAGCGGUGAAAUGCGUAGAUAUUGGGAGGAACACCAGUGGCGAAGGCGGCUUUCUGGACGGUAACUGACGCUGAGGCGCGAAAGCGUGGGGAGCAAACAGGAUUAGAUACCCUGGUAGUCCACGCUGUAAACGAUGGAUACUAGGUGUAGGAGGUAUCGACCCCUUCUGUGCCGCAGUUAACACAAUAAGUAUCCCACCUGGGGAGUACGGCCGCAAGGUUGAA
RNAcentral lists this ribosomal RNA (332 nucleotides) under uncultured bacterium. RNAcentral's name for it is "bacterial SSU rRNA". It matches the Rfam family "Bacterial small subunit ribosomal RNA", at positions 568 to 898 of the family's 1533-position model. The record is from RNAcentral.